This 394-nucleotide ribosomal RNA is filed under the name uncultured bacterium. RNAcentral describes it as "partial 16S ribosomal RNA". It matches the Rfam family "Bacterial small subunit ribosomal RNA", at positions 523 to 918 of the family's 1533-position model. The record is from RNAcentral.
AUACGGGAGGUCCGGGCGUUAUGCGGGUUUAUUGGGUUUAAAGGGAGCGCAGGCCGGUGUGUAAGCGUGACGUCAAAUACACCCGCUCAACGGUUGGCCUGGUCGCGAACUGCAAGCCCUGAGUACGCUGCAAGGCGGCGGGAUUUGGGGGGUAGCGGGGAAAUGCUAAGAUAUUACGAAGAACUACGAUUGCGAAGGCAGCCCGCUGUCGCGUGACUUACGCUGAGGCUCGAAGGUGCGGGUAUCGAACAGGAUUAGAUACCCUGGUAGUCCGCACUGUAAACGAUGGACACCCGCUGUGUGGCCUGUUAUGGUUGCGCGGCCAAGCGAAAGCAUUAAGUCUCCCACCUGGGGAGUACGCCGGCAACGGUGAAACUCAAAUGAAUUGACGGGG